This 463-nucleotide ribosomal RNA is filed under the name uncultured bacterium. RNAcentral's name for it is "bacterial SSU rRNA". It matches the Rfam family "Bacterial small subunit ribosomal RNA", at positions 337 to 796 of the family's 1533-position model. The record is from RNAcentral.
UCCUACGGGGGGCAGCAGUAAGGAAUAUUGGGCAAUGGACGCAAGUCUGACCCAGCCAUGCCGCGUGCAGGAUGACGGCCCUACGGGUUGUAAACUGCUUUUGUACGGGAAAAAACCCUCGCUCGAGUAGCGGGGCUGAUGGUACCGUAAGAAUAAGCAUCGGCUAACUCCGUGCCAGCAGCCGCGGUAAUACGGAGGAUGCAAGCGUUAUCCGGAUUCAUUGGGUUUAAAGGGUCCGCAGGCGGGAUAAUAAGUCAGAGGUGAAAUCCUACGGCUCAACUGUAGAACUGCCUUUGAUACUGUUAUCCUAGAGUGUAGUUGAUGUGGGCGGAAUAUGUCAUGUAGCGGUGAAAUGCUUAGAUAUGACAUAGAACACCGAUCGCGAAGGCAGCUCACAAAGCUACAACUGACGCUCAGGGACGAAAGCGUGGGGAUCAAACAGGAUUAGAUACCCUAGUAGUCC